CAUCCCACUUGCAAAUAGACUUUCCAAACAUCUGGAGGAAGCCGUGGAAACACAAACAGGUAAACUAUAAACAAUUGUGAUAGCUGAGAUUGUCUCAAACCAUCAUCUGUGUUUACGCUUAUGGGAGCUAAUCCUGGAGACUAUAAAAUGCGGUUAACCUCGCUAAACAAGAUUAAGCCAAUAUGUACGUAUAAAUCAUUACUCUGAUUUCAUUAUUCUCAGUCCAGUAGAUCCCUCUUUCCAUACCUAAUUAUAGAUGCACCAGCUACAUUGGAUCAGCAUUGUGAUCUCCAUGACUCUUAGAUCCGAAGCAGAAUCUUUUGACUUUGGGAGGCAACUCAACCAGAAAGGCCAAUCUGAAUAUAUUUAUGAAGGAGCCGCACUUUCAAAUGGGAUGAAACCCUUCUGCUGGAAAAAGAAAUAUGGCGGGAUGAGGAACCUACAGCCCUCUCCAUAUUGCCUGGAUUUCCAUACCUGUUAGCCAGUAAAGCCAAGCGGACUUGAUCAGGCACAUAGAUUUCCUGGCUACAGUCAUCCCCCCUUUGGACUAGAACGAGAAACAACAUUGAUUUCAGAGGGGAAUCAAUCAAGGCAGGUUGGUGAUGGGGGCACCACCCGCCCCUCCUUGCAAGGGAGGGUCAUGAACUUGGCCAGGCAGAGUGGCAAGGCUGGCACCAGCCAACUUCUCUUUGCUAACUUCCGCUCUGUUCUUUGUCAAGAAACAAACCCUCCAUUAAAAUCUCACACCACUAGAGGACACUCAAAGCCUUCAUUUCUUUUCUCGAAACUGGAAUUGCCCAACUGAUUCUGCAGCCUGCGAUUGAAUUCUUCCACUGCAAAAAACAUAUAUAGGGCCCACCAAGUCAAGAAAUAUGAGGUUUGCCUCUGAGAAUGAACCGAUGUUGUUGCACAGAUUUCUGAGGGUUCCCCCCCCAAGAGGCUUAGGGUUAGGUAGGAAUUGGGCUUACCAUUCCUUAGCACAGUUGCAUCUUUAUGAAAUAAAGUUAUGUGUUAAAUUGAGCUCGCUGAUGAUGUUGAUACCCCAUCUCUAUCCUCUACCCAGGCAAGCAAAAUUAUCAAAGUUGAAAGACAUAUUCCAGCCAGGCAAAAACACUCAAGGAAGGUGCAAAGCGGAGCUGCUGAGAAGAGUGGCCUGGGGAGAGUGGAUGUGGCCGCGGAGAGUCCUAAGGGCUAGCUAAAGAGACCUGGGGGGGCUGCAUUUCCCCCCUUCCCUUUUCCAAUCAGGCCUGAGGUUCCCCAUCCAUGAGAAAAAUAAUUCAACACAGCUGUGCUUUUCGACUUGCAGGGGGUUGGGGACAUGGUUGUUACAAUGAGCUUCUGCUAUGGAUAGAUGAAUCUGUCAAUUUCUGCUCCCCUCAGCUGGUUAUUUUUCCAAUCUUUAAUUCAGUUUUCCACAUUUUCACAUCAGUUUGCCUUUAACAAACCAUCCACGUGAAAAUUUGACUAUAUAUUUGCCCCCUU
Molecule: long non-coding RNA, 1482 nt
Organism: Podarcis raffonei (Aeolian wall lizard)
Lineage: Eukaryota; Metazoa; Chordata; Lepidosauria; Squamata; Lacertidae
Exons: 4
Source: RefSeq, a predicted model, not a curated record